GGCGCGUUGACGGAACGGUUACGUGGAGGUCUGCAAAACCUUUUAAAUGGGUUCGACUCCCAUACGUGCCUCCA
Molecule: transfer RNA, 74 nt
Filed under: Candidatus Saccharimonadota bacterium
Lineage: Bacteria; Candidatus Saccharimonadota
Also listed under: 6 other names
Description: tRNA-Cys
Rfam family: tRNA
About the family: Transfer RNA (tRNA) molecules are approximately 80 nucleotides in length. Their secondary structure includes four short double-helical elements and three loops (D, anti-codon, and T loops).
Source: RNAcentral